This 331-nucleotide ribosomal RNA is filed under the name uncultured bacterium. RNAcentral describes it as "bacterial SSU rRNA". It matches the Rfam family "Bacterial small subunit ribosomal RNA", at positions 568 to 898 of the family's 1533-position model. The record is from RNAcentral.
CACGCAGGCGGAUUGAUAAGUCAGGGGUGAAAUCCCGGGGCUCAACCUCGGAAUUGCCUUUGAUACUGUCUGUCUUCGAGUUCGGGAGAGGUUGGCGGAAUUCCUAGUGUAGAGGUGAAAUUCGUAGAUAUUAGGAAGAACACCAGUGGCGAAGGCGACCAACUGGCCCGAUACUGACGCUCAUGUGCGAAAGCGUGGGGAGCAAACAGGAUUAGAUACCCUGGUAGUCCACGCUGUAAACUAUGGAUGCUAGCCGUUGGGGAGCUUGCUCUUCAGUGGCGCAGCUAACGUCUUAAGCAUCCCGCCUGGGGAGUACGGUCGCAAGAUUAAA